Molecule: long non-coding RNA, 520 nt
Organism: Mastomys coucha (southern multimammate mouse)
Lineage: Eukaryota; Metazoa; Chordata; Mammalia; Rodentia; Muridae
Exons: 2
Source: RefSeq, a predicted model, not a curated record
CCAUUGCAGUUAUAGCAGUUAGAAAACACCGUUUAGGGCUGUUAGGGAGGUCUAGGGUGAGGAGUGAGGCCUGGCUACUGGAGCUUCUCAGGAGGAAGUGGGCCAGAGGGUGGGACUGGCCACUUUCCUGCCUUGAGAGUUUACCCCUGGCAGGGUGGUGCCUGCCCACUGUAGGAUAAAAGGACCAAGGAAAGAACACACUGACCCAGACUUGAUCCCAAGACCAGGACCAAGAUAAUGAAUUCUACCAAUUCCUGAGCUUGCCACAGAAACCCACCGAUCCCUGAACUCAAAACCUCAUCAAUCCCUGAACAGGAAAACCCACCAAUUCUAAGCUCGCCCAAACUCAGGACUUGAAAUCCCACCAAUCCUCACCCUGGAAAUCUCCACCUUGGAAAGCUCCUCCCACGGGCCAAAAAAUCCUACAGAAGCCCGAGCUCUGCCCAGCUCCCUGCUGCUGCACACAGAGCAGAGGCAGCCACUCUCCUGGGGUUUCCCUCCCAGUAAAUCUCUCGUGUGA